This is a long non-coding RNA of Corvus hawaiiensis (hawaiian crow), 4108 nucleotides long. RefSeq lists it as uncharacterized. The record is from RefSeq and is a predicted model, not a curated record. Lineage: Eukaryota; Metazoa; Chordata; Aves; Passeriformes; Corvidae. The transcript has 2 exons.
CGGGCGGUGCGUCCCGUGAGGGGUUGCGGGUGCCCGGGAGAGUUUCCAGCCCCGGCGGUGCUACAGGAUCGCGGAGUCAUCCGGGUUGGAAGAGACCUGUAGGAUCAUCCAGUCCAACCGUCCACUCAGCGCUGGCACUGUAAUCCCAUAUCCACUAAACCACAUUACCCAGCGUCAGAUCCAGACGCCUCUUAAACACCUCCAAGGAUGGCGACUCCACCAGCUCCCUGGGCAACCUAGUCCAAUGCCUGCUCCAUAUCCCACUUGUCGGGCUUUGUGGCAGUUGUUUCAUUAGGCUUAAAGUGCUGGUUGUGGGGCCAUUACAGGGACGCGCCAGUGGGCCCCGCAGCUGCUGCAGCCCCGCGGGCAAACGGGACACGGCCCCGGCCGGGCAGCACCUGCCCCGUGCCUGGUACCUGGUGUCAACCUGGCACUGCGUUCCUUUUCCUGUUCCUUGCCCUUGGAAGUCUCCCGGCUGCCAGGGCUGCCCCUGUGAAUCAUGUCAGCGGCAGGCGGGUCCUGCCGCCGAGUGCCGUGAUGCAAGGCAGGCGUAUUCACCGAUGCUCCGUGUCUGCACAGUGCCGUGAUGCAAGGCAGGUGUAUUCACCGAUGCUCCGUGUCUGCACAGUGCCGUGAUGCAAGGCAGGCGUAUUCACUGAUGCUCCGUGUCUGCACAGUGCCGUGAUGCAAGGCAGGUGUAUUCACCGAUGCUCUGUGUCUGCAUCGCAGUGCGUGCCUGAGAAAUGAGGGUGCCACCUGAGGCAAUGCUUACAUCUGCCCGGAGUUAAAUAUAGGUCGUUUAGCAAAGGGCAUUUGCUGUAGAAGGGAAGAAUGGUUAGAAAAUGUCAGAUUCUGUAAGUUAGCAGAGAGGCGUCUCUGAAAGUUAGGCUGGUCAGCCAGAAAGAAUCUAGGUCCCAGAUGCCAGGGGACUGACUGAAAAGUUAGUGGGUUUUAAAGCUGAAAUGUGUGUCAAAAUAUGUGUUGCUCAAGAUCCCCCAAUGGAAGGAGGUGGCGUAGCCAGGAAGAGAAUUUCUUUCGGGUGACUCUUGAACUGGACUCUGAAUACCAGGGCAUUGUGUGAUGCACAUUUUGCAUCCAGCUCCACGUACCUCCAUCAUUGCUGUUUUCCUACAGGUGCCUGUACACUGCACAUGUCCGCAGGGCACAGAAGCAGCAUUCCUUCUCUGAGCUAGUUUACCUUCUGUAACAGUGAUUUCACCAGUUUUGUCUCUUGGAGUUGGUUACGAACACUUCCUAUUGGGACUAUGCUUGUUCAUAUACGAUGUGUUUUUUUAAUCUGAUCAGAAUUAAGUAUAUACGCCUAGAGUAGGUGUUAUGUAAGAGCAACACAAUAAACAAUGAUUGCAACAUGACUAUUCAACAGGAACCAGUCCUUUUCAAAAUUACAGUAUAGUCAAAAUGCAGAUGAAACAAAGAUGAGAUGAGAAGGGAAAGAUUACGAGUUGUUAAUAAGAGGAAUAUGGCUUACACAUCGUUUCAAUAUAAUUUCAAUGUCAUUUCUCCUCCUAAGUACUUCCUUUGCCAAAUGAGGACAACCUCUUAUGUUUAUAUGGUUUUUUCUCAUUCCAUGACAGUUAAGAUAAAGUAAUUUGAAAAAGUUUAAUUUUGACUCUUGUAAAAAUAGUUUCCAGAACAAAGUAAAAGUAAAUUUAUACUAAAACACAGAUUUUUCAUUUUUAAAAUGUCACAAGAACACUUUUCAACAAAUUUGGUGCUCUUUUCAAAACCCAAAACUUUCCCCGCAAACCAUUUUUGAGGAACUGGCAUUACUUCUUUCAAGAAAGAAGAAAAAGAACAACUUUUACUGUCCCCAUUACUGCAGAUGUCUCUGGAUUAACUUCUCUAAUGAUUGCUUCUGUGCUUCCUGACACUAGCUUUAUGCUUACAGCAGCCCUGGAACCACCAGCCUCUUGCCUUCUCUUCAUCUAAGUUGCUUUUAAUGCACAUUUUUUAUCUAAAAGUGGAAGAGUGCUGACUCACCCUCAGACACUGUUCAGGCUGGCACAUUUCAUUCAACAAAAAAUAAAAUUAUGCUCCUACCAAGUAAUCUCAAUUCUCAUGUCAAAUAGCUUUCUUUUACACAUGAGUUUGUAGCUACCACACACUAGCACAAGUGUAAUGAUAGCUCUAAUUUUGUUACUAAAAGCUGAAUUUGGAGCCUGAGCCUUCUUUUGGUGCAGAUUUGUGACCCAAUGUGUCAUAUCUGCUAACACAGAUUCCUCUGUAGUUCCUCCUUUCAUGUCUGAAGUCUGUUCUGUGACUGUCCAAGCUAGAGACAAUUACCAUUUUUUAGUGCAAAUUUUCUAUUGCCAUACAUAAUGUACAAAAUGAGGUUUCACUAAAAGUUAUCCUUUGAGCUUACACUGAGAACUAAUUGAGAUGUUUGUUAUGUGCGUAUAAUGUUAUUUCCAAGUGGGUCAAGCCAGAAGGAAGACAGGCAGGUGGAGGAGGACAGAUUAGCAUAGAAAGAGUGAGGCACCCUAUGGCUUACCCGGGUCACCCCAGCUGUGUCCCAAACAUCUCAUGUCCUUCUGCAGUCCGGCCACAAGGGAAGGGUUCUUGUGCACAAGAGGGUCGCCCCUGUUGGCAAGUUCACAGCUGAGCAUUGAGCAGCCUUAAACCCAGCUUACAGCAACCACAACAACAUGCACGGCUAUGAAGAUCCCCAAAAUGUACCCUCAUGCAGAGAAGAGAUCAGCCUUCUCCCAAGCAGUCAUUUACAGUUUGCGUUUUUAUAUUUUCCUGAGGUCCUAUCAGUCCUCUGAUUUUAGAUACUGAUGAUAUCACUAAAUGACACUGGACAUUGCUUAGGUGCCUGCCAGUCCACACAGAAUAUCUCCACCUGAAUAACACACUACCAUCUUGCUGCCAGCAGCAGAAGGAUGGCCCUUUGCAUUGACCUGUGUAUCUUGAAGGUCACAACAAAUCUUUAAUUACUUAAAUACUGGGUUUAGAAUCUGAUUUAUAUCUUAACGUAUAAUCUUAAUAAUCUGAAAGGCAUCAGAAAUUUUAGAAGAAUGUAAACAGCACAUUACAUUGGAAUCAAUCUAAAUUUACAUUUUUAUAUAUAGACCUUUAAAAGCAGAACAUAGCUUGUGUUAACAGAAAAAUAUUCACUACAUACAUGUACGAGUAUGAUUUUUUAAUUUCAAAUGGUGACUUUUUGCUUGGUAAGACUUAAUUGUGCUUCACCAAAGCCAGGAACCGAGAUUUUAUUUUUUUUUAAACAACCAUCCUUUCCAAGUAAUCCUACAUGCAUAUUCUGAGGUCUUCCUUACAUAGGGGUAAGGGAUUGAAAUACGAAAGUAUAAAGGAGAAAAGUAUUUCUAUCACACAAGGAUGCAGAAUGACCACAUCCUGGUCUGCAGAGUACCUAAAUGCCUGACUGCAAACUCAGGGGCAAGCAUUUCAGGGCUUGAACUCACUGUAAGGUAAAAAAUUAAUUAAAUAAAUAAAAUAGCAUUUGCUUAUGUGGUUGGAAAAACAGUGAGAUCCCUCCCUGUAAAGCUCAGAUUCAGGGGGAGGGCUUCCCUCCCCUGCUUCUCUUUAUUAUUUUUCACUUUUUUCUGUAAGUGCCUGCAUCACUUUGCACGUGAUGGUUGCGUUCAGAUUUAGAUGACAGAUACGUGACACAGUAACCGUAUAUAAGACAGUUCAAGAAUCCAAUGAAUGAUUCCGCCAAAAGCAGAAUCUUACUCUAAAUCACUGAAAGAGCAAAAAAUGCUCAGGAUGAGUAGAUAAAUAUAUACUUUUAGUGCCUUAAUUCCUUCCCUGCAAAUCAAAACCUGGUUUGUGUACAAGGUUCCUAGAUUUCAGUAGGUAGAGGGACAAUAGCUUCCUGUAAAAACAGGAUCGAUAUUCAGAAAUAUGAUUUACCAGGACACUAUUACAUUUCUCUUUGAAGAAACAGAACAAUUUCAAGGCAUAGUGUUUCACAUUAUUUCUAUCCACUUGGAGAUUUUGUUUUUCUUUCCUGUAUGUCCUGGGUGAAGAAAAAGCUUGUUUUUAUCUUCCUCAAUCACUUCUUCAGAGGAGUUUAGGCAGAGGUAUAAUUCACUGUAAUAAAGCUACCUGCACUUCAGUUGGA